Molecule: ribosomal RNA, 498 nt
Filed under: uncultured bacterium
Lineage: Bacteria
Description: partial 16S ribosomal RNA
Rfam family: Bacterial small subunit ribosomal RNA
Source: RNAcentral
ACUCAAAUGAAUUGACGGGGACCCGCACAAGCGGUGGAUGAUGUGGAUUAAUUCGAUGCAACGCGAACAACCUUACCUACCCUUGACAUGUGCCGAAUCCUGCUGAGAGGUGGGGGUGCCCGAAAGGGAACGGCAACACAGGUGCUGCAUGGCUGUCGUCAGCUCGUGUCGUGAGAUGUUGGGUUAAGUCCCGCAACGAGCGCAACCCUUGUCCCUAGUUGCUACGCGCAAGCGGGCACUCUAGGGAGACUGCCGGUGACAAACCGGAGGAAGGUGGGGAUGACGUCAAGUCCUCAUGGCCCUUAUGGGUAGGGCUUCACACGUCAUACAAUGGCCGGUACAGAGGGUUGCCAAAGCGCGAGCUGGAGCCAAUCCCAGAAAGCCGGUCGUAGUCCGGAUUGCAGUCUGCAACUCGACUGCAUGAAGUCGGAAUCGCUAGUAAUCGCGGAUCAGCAUGUCGCGGUGAAUACGUUCCCGGGUCUUGCACACACCGCCCGU